Molecule: non-coding RNA, 84 nt
Organism: Roridomyces roridus
Lineage: Eukaryota; Fungi; Basidiomycota; Agaricomycetes; Agaricales; Mycenaceae
Source: the annotation of a GenBank genome assembly
UCCGUGUAGUUCAAUGGGAGAACACACCCCGCGCCCGCUUCGGCGUCGACCGGUGAGUCGAGGGUUCGAUUCCCUCGCAUGGCA